AGUGAACGCUGGCGGUAGGCCUAACACAUGCAAGUCGAACGGCAGCACAGUAAGAGCUUGCUCUUACGGGUGGCGGGUGGCGGACGGGUGAGGAAUACAUCGGAAUCUACUUUUUCGUGAGGGAUAACGUAGGGAAACUUACGCUAAUACCGCAUACGACCUACGGGUGAAAGCAGGGGAUCUUCGGACCUUGCGCGAUUGAAUGAGCCGAUGUCGGAUUAGCUAGUUGGCGGGGUAAAGGCCCACCAAGGCGACGAUCCGUAGCUGGUCUGAGAGGAUGAUCAGCCACACUGGAACUGAGACACGGUCCAGACUCCUACGGGAGGCAGCAGUGGGGAAUAUUGGACAAUGGGCGCAAGCCUGAUCCAGCCAUACCGCGUGGGUGAAGAAGGCCUUCGGGUUGUAAAGCCCUUUUGUUGGGAAAGAAAAGCAGCAGGUUAAUACCCCGCUGUUCUGACGGUACCCAAAGAAUAAGCACCGGCUAACUUCGUG
RNAcentral lists this ribosomal RNA (492 nucleotides) under uncultured bacterium. Its description in RNAcentral is "partial 16S ribosomal RNA". It matches the Rfam family "Bacterial small subunit ribosomal RNA", at positions 29 to 507 of the family's 1533-position model. The record is from RNAcentral.